Molecule: long non-coding RNA, 1107 nt
Filed under: Equus asinus (donkey)
Lineage: Eukaryota; Metazoa; Chordata; Mammalia; Perissodactyla; Equidae
Description: lncRNA (ENSEASG00005033881.1)
Source: RNAcentral
CCCCGCACCCUCUCUCUGCUGGACCCGGCGAUCCCCCCUCCGCACCUUCCUUCUACUGGACCGGUUGCCCUCCCUCACUCUCCCUCUGCUGGACCCGGCGUCCCCUCCUCUGCACCCUCCUUCUGCACCCUCUCUCUAUGGACCCGGCGCCCCCUCCCGCACCCUCUCCUCAGCCUUCUCUCUCCGUGAGACCGGAAGGCCCUUAUCCGCGUUCUACCUUUUCUGGAUUGGGACACCGGCCCCCCCACCUCUCUGCUGGACCCAGACCUCCGUCCCUCCCCCCUCCUCUCCCUCCCUGCCUCUGCUGGACCUAGGAGUGCCGCUCCUCUCCAUCCUUCCCUCUCCCACCUGAUAGUCCCCUCUCCCUGUCCUGGACCCCGCCCCCUCCCCCCCAGCACCACCCGUCAGGAACCCAUUUCUAACAUCAGGGCCAGCUGCUCUCUUGCCUCAGAGGAGAGGGACUUUGGCUUGAUGGCUGAGCAGUACCUUCAGUGGAGAGACCAGAUUCUGCCUUUCCUGUCUCCAAUUCUCCUAGCCCCACCUGGAGCUAGUUCCGUCUGCUUUGUGGGUCUGCAGCCCUCAGACUUUUCCACCCAGUGGUUCAGGGCGUGGAAUCCUUGUUGCGUGGUAACUGCAGACCUGUGCCUUAGGCAGAGUCCUGGUUAGGCUCUUUUUCCUGAGUAUGAGGGAGAGGAGGCCGGGGCUGUGCCUCACUCGGAAUCCCGGCUGGAUUGCCACCAAUUUCCUGGGUUUAAAAGAGAGCAGGAAGAACGUUUAAAAUUUGGAGACAACUUGCUUAGUUUUUCUGCUCUUAAUCAUCAACAAGAACCAACAAUUAAGCUUGAAAGGUAUCUGAAGUCUAUUCAGAAUGUCGGGGAGGUCAGAAAUCCAGGAUAAUCUCUUUGCCUUAAGGCCAGCUGAUUAGCAACCUUGCUUCCAUCUGCCACCCCGAGUUCUACUUGCAACGUGACAUACUUGUCCGCAGGUCCUGGGGAUUGGCGCGAGGACAGAGCCCACAACAAUGGUCGUUUCACCCGCCAGCUCGGAAGCCCAGAUGGUGCAGUCGCUGGGCUUCGCCAUCUACCGCGCGCUGGACUGGGGGCUGGA